Molecule: ribosomal RNA, 1238 nt
Filed under: metagenome
Description: bacterial LSU rRNA
Rfam family: Bacterial large subunit ribosomal RNA
Source: RNAcentral
UGAAUACGAGAUGCUACGGCGUCGAAGCAGUGUAUGUCAGACUUCCAAGAAAAGCUCGCAAUGUCAUAAAUAAAGAAUGCCUGUACCAUAACCGACACAGGUGGGUAGGUAGAGUAUACUAAGGGGCGCGAGAUAACUCUCUCUAAGGAACUCGGCAAAAUAACUCCGUAACUUCGGGAGAAGGAGUGCCUUCUUUAAGAAGGUUGCAAUAACAAGAUCCAAGCAACUGUUUAUCAAAAACACAGGUCUCCGCUAAGUCGUAAGACGAUGUAUGGGGGCUGACGCCUGCCCAGUGCCUGAAGGUUAAAGAAGUUGGUUAGCUUUUGCGAAGCUGAUGACUGAAGCCCUGGUGAACGGCGGCCGUAACUAUAACGGUCCUAAGGUAGCGAAAUUCCUUGUCGGGUAAGUUCCGACCCGCACGAAAGGCGUAAUGAUUUGGAUACUGUCUCGGAGAGGGACUCGGUGAAAUAGACUUGUCUGUGAAGAUGCGGACUACCUGCACCAGGACAGAAAGACCCUAUGAAGCUUUACUGUAACUUGAAAUUGAAAUUGGACUUUAUUUGCGCAGUAUAGGUGGAAGGCGUUGAAAGUAAUCUUGCGGGAUUAGUGGAGCCAUCAGUGAGAUACCACUCCUAUAAUGUUAGAUUUCUAACUUUGGAUCAUGAUCUGGUCAAAGAACAGUUUCAGGCGGGCAGUUUGACUGGGGCGGUCGCCUCCCAAAUGGUAACGGAGGCGUACAAAGGUUUCCUCUGAACGGGUAGAGAUCGUAUCUAGAGUGUAAAGGCAUAAGGAAGCUUGACUGUGAGACCUACAAGUCGAGCAGGGACGAAAGUCGGUCUUAGUGAUCUGACGGUGCUGAGUGGAAAGGCCGUCACUCAACGGAUAAAAGUUACUCUAAGGAUAACAGGCUGAUCUCCCCCAAGAGUUCACAUCGACGGGGAGGUUUGGCACCUCGAUGUCGGCUCAUCGCAUCCUGGGGCGGUAGUACGUCCCAAGGGUUGGGCUGUUCGCCCAUGAAAGCGGUACGCGAGCUGGGUUCAGAACGUCGUGAGACAGUUCGGUCCAUAUCCGGUGUAGGCGUUAGAAUAUUGAGAGGAGCCUUCUUUAGUACGAGAGGACCGAGAAGGACAUACCUCUGGUGUACCAGUUAUCGUGCCAACGGUAAACGCUGGGUAGCUAUGUAUGGAGAGGAUAACCGCUGAAAGCAUCUAAGUGGGAAGCCCACCUCAAGAUGAGUA